Trifolium pratense (red clover) is the source of this 790-nucleotide long non-coding RNA. RefSeq lists it as uncharacterized. The record is from RefSeq and is a predicted model, not a curated record. Lineage: Eukaryota; Viridiplantae; Streptophyta; Magnoliopsida; Fabales; Fabaceae. The transcript is spliced from 4 exons.
AUAACACUAAUUUAAUAGCACUUUUUCUGAAGUGCUAUUAAAAAUCUCAAUCUGACGCUUAUAAUAGCACUUUUUGUCCGAAGUGCUAUAAUAUAGUGGAAAUAAAUUUUAAGCGGGGCCUUUAAUAGCGCUUUCCUUGCGAGCGCUAUAAAAUAUAUGUCCCUUUGAUAGCACUUUUCAUGAAACGCUAUUAUAGGUCUUUCCGGAAAAGAAAAAAAACACUAAAAUAUUUCGCACUCUCACAAUGCUCAAAAUCGCACUCUCACAAUCGCUUCUUCACAAUCGUGAAUUAGAAACCUUCGCACCUCUUCACGAUUUCAAACGAAUCAAUAAUAUUGCCGCCAUCGUUCAAUCACCUUUGAGUUUUUUUCAAUCGAUCUUCGUUCUCAGAACAAAGUUCAGUCAGGUACAUUCCAAGAUAUACCUUUAGUUGGCUAGUGAAACCCAUGUGGUUGGUCAUAAACUUUCUUCACAGAGCAGCUGACCUGACUCUGGUACCAUCUGUUGCCAUUGGGAGGGAUCUUCAAGCAGCUAGAGUAACAGCAGCUAACAAGAUUCGUCUUUGAAACAAAGGUGUUGAUUUUGAAAGUUUCCAUACUCGAUACCGUUCGCAUGAAAUGAGAUUAAGACCUAAGGUUUGAACCUUUUCUCAUUUUUUUCGUUAUCUACAAGUUUUGGUAAUGAUUGGUUUUCAUGUUAUUCUUACAACAAUGGUGAACCUAAGAAGCCUUUGAUAGUUCAUGUUGGAUGGCUUGGAGUUGAAAAGAGUUUAGAUUUUCUCAAAGGGUAG